UUUCUCCACACUUUGAUUCUGAACUUGGCUUGUUCUGGCUGUUGAAUUACUGUGUCAGAAUCCAUGAGUACAGAGGUUUGAAAUUCACUUGCAAAUUGGCAUUUCCUCUCCUGAAGCUUUUGGAACCCAGCUAUGAGGCAACUAGCACUGCUGUGGAAUUGUUCAUUCUUGAGGAACUCAGGAGAAGACACAAAGAGGCUAGAGACCGGGCUCUGUCCAGGUCAUAGCCCCUCACAGAGCAAGGACAUGGCAAGAUGUAAAGAGCAUAGGAAGGUCUUGAGUGGGGACAAAAAAAAUGUGCCAUCAAUAUUAAAAUCACACCAAGAGAACAUCCCCUUGGCUGGAGACAAUUCAAAGAGCCUCCCCUGGGAGAGGUCAUCCUAUCAUGGUCCUUGGUGGGAAAUGGCUGAAGAUAAACCUUCAUGGAGUCCAAAGUACAGGAAGGAAGUGACAAAGGACAGAAAGGAAGCAGAAGACACUGAGAAUCUACACCAAGGGAAGGGGCCCCAGGAACUGGAGGAAGGAGCAGAAAUGGAAGGAUCAAGGUACCACAAAGCCACCAUGUCACCUGGGAGCAGGAGAGUGGUCCUCACUCAGUGCGGCCCACACUGAACUGCACAAGAGUCUGUGGAUGAGUGUGGUGGAAAACGCAUCGAUGGGCUUGUGCUGAUCAUAAGCCUGAAUUAUUAUCACUCUUCGUGUGGGUGGCAGUAGCAUUUCUGCCGUGAAGUUCUUCCUCCUGCCUUCUCUCCUCCAGACAAACCCAGCCCCUUUGUGACUCCUCCCACCAGCUCUUAUGAUGCCAUCAUUGGUUUGAUACUGAGCGGCGACUUGUCCCUCUUCUCAUGGUAACACCACCACACACAUGCCAUCCUCCAGCCGCAGCCUCCAGACGGUCUCCUGCUAGACAGUUUCUCGGGUCUGGGGUGCAUGCCAUUGAGUGGAGGUGGGGGUGAGGGGCUCUCCCUUCCUCCUCCCAACCCUGCUCCUCCUGUCAUCUCCAAGGGAGAGUGAGAAUUGGGAUUCAGCUAAUCCUAGAGCAACCUCCUCUCAGUCCUUGCUUUGGGAAAAGGUUCUAGGAGCAGAGAAGGGCUGCUUGUUGGAUUGGCCCAGUUGUAUGGAAUGAGACAAGUAAUUUCUGAAGUGAUAAGAGAGGUGCAUGG
This 1163-nucleotide long non-coding RNA is filed under the name Heterocephalus glaber (naked mole-rat). RNAcentral's name for it is "lncRNA (ENSHGLG00100047052.1)". The record is from RNAcentral. Lineage: Eukaryota; Metazoa; Chordata; Mammalia; Rodentia; Bathyergidae.